GCGAGUGAGGCUCAGUGGUUAGAGCCUCUGCUGGGCAUGCAGAAGGCCCUGGGUUCAGCCCCGGGCAUCGGCA
RNAcentral lists this transfer RNA (73 nucleotides) under Sphaerodactylus townsendi. RNAcentral's name for it is "tRNA-Ala". Lineage: Eukaryota; Metazoa; Chordata; Lepidosauria; Squamata; Sphaerodactylidae. The record is from RNAcentral.